Molecule: ribosomal RNA, 390 nt
Filed under: uncultured bacterium
Lineage: Bacteria
Description: bacterial SSU rRNA
Rfam family: Bacterial small subunit ribosomal RNA
Source: RNAcentral
GACGAACGCUGGCGGCGUGCUUAACACAUGCAAGUCGAGCGGUAAGGCCCUUUCGGGGGUACACGAGCGGCGAACGGGUGAGUAACACGUGGGUGACCUGCCUCUAGCUCUGGGAUAAGCCUGGGAAGCUGGGUCUAAUACCGGAUAUGACCUCGCGGUGCAUGUUGCGGGGUGGAAAGCCUUGUGCGGCUAGGGAUGGGCCCGCGGCCUAUCAGCUUGUUGGUGGGGUGAUGGCCACCAAGGCGACGACGGGUAGCCGGCCUGAGAGGGCGACCGGCCACACUGGGACUGAGACACGGCCCAGACUCCUACGGGAGGCAGCAGUGGGGAAUCUUGCACAAUGGGCGAAAGCCUGACGCAGCGACGCCGCGUGAGGGAUGACGGCCUCGG